CAGGAAAUAGUUUAAUAUAAAAUAUUAAUUUUGGAGAUUAAAGAUCAGAGAUUUCUUUUUCCUGA
Molecule: transfer RNA, 65 nt
Filed under: Polydrusus marginatus
Lineage: Eukaryota; Metazoa; Arthropoda; Insecta; Coleoptera; Curculionidae
Description: tRNA-Pro
Source: RNAcentral